UGGGGAAUAUUGGACAAUGGGGGCAACCCUGAUCCAGCCAUGCCGCGUGUGUGAAGAAGGCCUUCGGGUUGUAAAGCACUUUUGUCCGGAAAGAAAAGCUUCGGGUUAAUACCCCGAGGUUCUGACGGUACCGGAAGAAUAAGCACCGGCUAACUUCGUGCCAGCAGCCGCGGUAAUACGAAGGGUGCAAGCGUUACUCGGAAUUACUGGGCGUAAAGCGUGCGUAGGUGGUUUGUUAAGUCUGAUGUGAAAGCCCUGGGCUCAACCUGGGAAUUGCAUUGGAUACUGGCAGGCUAGAGUGCGGUAGAGGAUGGCGGAAUUCCCGGUGUAGCAGUGAAAUGCGUAGAGAUCGGGAGGAACAUCUGUGGCGAAGGCGGCCAUCUGGACCAGCACUGACACUGAGGCACGAAAGCGUGGGGAGCAAACAGGAUUAGAUACCCAAGUAGUCCCUGAGCGGGC
RNAcentral lists this ribosomal RNA (459 nucleotides) under uncultured bacterium. RNAcentral's name for it is "bacterial SSU rRNA". It matches the Rfam family "Bacterial small subunit ribosomal RNA", at positions 355 to 804 of the family's 1533-position model. The record is from RNAcentral.